Molecule: non-coding RNA, 22 nt
Filed under: Arabidopsis thaliana (thale cress)
Lineage: Eukaryota; Viridiplantae; Streptophyta; Magnoliopsida; Brassicales; Brassicaceae
Source: RNAcentral
CGUCAGUUGCAUUUGUGAUCGU